GCCAUUAGAGAAAAUAUUAGACAUAUGUAUCAUAGUAUUAUAUCGACAUAUAAAGUUCUGUGAUUAUCUUCGCUGCUACAAAUAAUUUUCAUAUUGUUACUAAUUAAUACACACAAGACACAAGUAAUACAUUAGAGAAACUAAAAUAAUAUCAAAAAGCAUAAGUAAUACUUACACGUGGUUCUAUGAACUUUAGCUUUUUACCCUGUAUAUUACGUUUCACAAAAUUGUAUCCCUCCAAAUCAUUACAUGAUGGUAAAAAUCAAACAUGAAUAAAACUUUUCAAGACUAAAGGUAAAAUUUGAGUAUUCCAAAUAAUACCACUUACGCACUUAAAAUCUUUUGUAUAUCUUCAUCAAGAUGACAAUGUAACCAGCAUAACAUAACUAUAAUAUUUUUCUUCUGACAUAAAAUAAUUAAUUGCAAAUGUUUGCUACAUAAAAACAUAGAAUAAUUACCAAUGUGUGUAUAAAAUUGAUUUAUAAAUGAAAACACAAAUUAAAUCAUAUACUUAAUUAUGGAUAAAUUAUGACAUGUAAUAUUCUUUAUUCUCUUUAACCAACUUGUUUGUAUGCGUAUAUGGAUAUUGUUGGUUAAAUUACCUUAAAAUUGAAUGUUCAAUGAAUCUAUGAAAUAAUAUGCUUUCAAUUUUCUUUCGACACUUGUCUCAUGCAUGACCCUAAUUAAAAGGUAAUGCAAAUGUCAAAAUUUUAUGUUAAAGUAUGAGAACAAUGAAUUAUGGAAUCUCGUCUAUCAUACUAAAUAAUCUUUUUCAUUUCCAUUUAGUUAGAUUUGCAAAUAAGAGUGUUAGAUUACAUUAUUUUAUUUCCUCUGAAUACUAUGUUGUAUGAUAUAAACAGAGAAAAUUAUUGUUUUAUUAGGGUGCUUGAGUAGAGGUUGUAUCUCGCUCCAACUGAAUUGAUAAAACAUCAUUCGUUUGUGAAACGUUUUUUAGUCGCGCUGAGGAAGAAGUAAGAUUCAUGGGUUGAAAUUAUUUUUAGGUUGAAGAUGAUUAUUCGAAAGGAAAGAUAUACUCCUUUUAUAGAUAAAAGUAAAAAUAAAAUUAGAGAGGAAAUGACUCGCUCGUAAUGAGCGUAUUGGCUCUCUGCAUUUUAAAACAGGGUUCUAGGGUCACAUCCUCUUCAAGUAAUUUCUUGACUAACAUGUAUCCUCUAUUUAAGACUCAUAUAAAGUUUGAAUAAAAAACUUUAUGACACAGAGAAAGAAAAUUAUUAAUAGAAGAGGUAACAAGUCUUGAAUGGAUAAAAUACAAAGAUUAUUAGUGAAAUAAAAUCUACUAAAGUACGAAUAUUCUGCUCUUACUACACACAAGUAAACAUUUAAUAUUAAUCUCCAUAAAAAAUUUCUUAUGGUUAUUAUAAAAAUAAACAAUUAAUUAUAUCUCCAUAGUUUUUUCAAAGGUUAUUAUAUGUGUAUUGAUAUUUUAUUUGUUUGCAUCUUUUAAAGGUGAACAAGGCCACCGUAACUAUUAAAAAGUAAGAGAAAUAUAAAUUGAAGAAUGAGAAAGAUCAAUAGCUUUAUAAUAUUAUUAUAUAAAUAUAGAAGUAUAAAAUUGUAAGAAACUUUAAAUUAUUUUCAAUUUAAUUUUUAAAGAUACUUUGAGAGGUGAUAGGAUGGAAAAGAAAAUGUGAUAUGCAUAAAUUGAAGGUCAUGAAUAUUUCUCUAAAAUUUAAAGUGAAGAAGAUACUAAAAAUAUUAUUACUAUGUUGUCCUAUUUCAUUUCAUUACAAUAAUACUAGUGUGUAAAUCCACAACUAUAGGUUGUGAAAAUAAAAUUUAAACAAAAAAAAUUAUUGGGGUAAAAAUACAAUAUCCAAAUGACAUACGACAACACAUAAAAUAUAUUAGGUGUUUGCGUCUUCUCUAGGGACUUUCAAUUAAAAACUAAAUUUGUAAACUCUUAAAGUAUUAUUAUCUCCUGGGAUUAAGCAAUCACGCACUAUUUUACAUUUACAAAUAAGUUUGCUUAUGCAUUUUCCUCUAUAAGGAGGCCGGCAAUAAUUUUUUUGAUAAUCUGAAUCAUCAAAACAUUCGAUUCUCUCUGCUGCAAUAAAAAACACUAUAUGGUUAUUAAAAUGAAAAAUAUAACGUAUGAAAUAAAACAGAACUUUAAAAUGAAUGAACAAAAGUUACCUUUAAUUUUCGUUCCAAUAAAAAUAGAAAGAAUAAUAUAAUCAUAACAUAAGAAAAUUAUUACUUCUACCAUAUUCUCCUCGUUAUUUUUAAUAAAUUAUUUUGUAACUUUAUAGUUAUGAAUAAGAGUGGAUCCUGCCUUUAAUAAUUUUUACUUGUGGACACUUAGUUGUAAAAUAAAUCUUAAAAUUAAAUUAAUUAGUAUAUAACUUUUCGAUACAUCAUUUUGUUGUCUUUGUCUCUUCAGCAUAUCCAAAAAAGAUGUAAAAUAAAACUUGUCUAUCAUAAAAAAUAUUCUUCUUAUAAAAAUUUUUAAUCAUUUUAUAUAUUUUACCUCGGAUGUGAAUGGGAGAUUACCUCAGUUAUAGAGAUGGAUACAAAGAGCGUCAUAAAAAACUAACAUCUUAUACGAUCGUUUUGAAUAACCGAGGGAAAGGUGAAAAAGUCAUUCAUUUGAUCCCCAGUGUAGGUCGGAUUUUUUAAUAAUUGAGGGGUAUAACCAAUGUUUUUAAAAUUCCAUUUUAACUGACCUUGAUCAUUUCUAUAUAGAUCCUACAAAUUAGGUGACAGAAUCAUAUCAAUUUGUAUUUUAUUUAGAAUAAAACAAAAUACCAAUUUUACAUUGUUAUAAAAGCAAAUGUACAAUCCUUGCAAUACUUAUCGUGAUAUUUGUAUACACAAAACCUAUCGCAAGAGAACCUAUACAUAUUUCACCUAAAUUGACAAAACAUUUACACAAUGCUAGUGAUAGUUAAAAAUCAAAGAAAAACUAGUGUUGACUAGAUUCAUAAUGACAUAAGAAGACACUUGCACAACGUGAUCGGAUGUCAUCUAUCUCCUCUGUGGAAAUGGUGUUUUAUUGCUAGACGCUUAUAAUUUGAACAAAAUUUAAAUUAUGAUAAGUUAACUACAACAAUAAUAAUUAACAAUUAACAAUAAUUACAUGUAUAUGGAUAAAGUUAAUACCUUAUUCAAUGAAUAAUAAUGCCAUUAGAGAAAAUAUUAGACAUAUGUAUCAUAGUAUUAUAUCGACAUAUAAAGUUCUGUGAUUAUCUUUGCUGCUACAAAUAAUUUUCAUAUUGUUACUAAUUAAUACACAAAAGACAAAGUAAUACAUUAGAGAAACUAAAAUAUCAAAAAGCAUAAGUAAUACUUACACGUGUUCUAUGAACUUUAGCUUUUACCCUGUAUAUUACGUUUCACAAAAUUGUAUCCCUCCAAAUCAUUACAUGAUGGUAAAAAUCAAACAUGAAUAAAACUUUCAACAGACUAAAGGUAAAAUUUGAGUAUUCCAAAUAAUACCACUUACGCACUUAAAAUCUUUUGUAUAUCUUCAUCAAGAUGACAAUGUAACCAGCAUAACAUAACUAUA
This 3526-nucleotide long non-coding RNA is filed under the name Lathyrus oleraceus (garden pea). Its description in RNAcentral is "Pisum sativum (pea) long non-coding RNA (PSAT_LNC033634)". The record is from RNAcentral. Lineage: Eukaryota; Viridiplantae; Streptophyta; Magnoliopsida; Fabales; Fabaceae.